RNAcentral lists this non-coding RNA (26 nucleotides) under Cricetulus griseus (Chinese hamster). The record is from RNAcentral. Lineage: Eukaryota; Metazoa; Chordata; Mammalia; Rodentia; Cricetidae.
GUUGAAUUCUAUGCUCCAUGGUGUGG